RNAcentral lists this ribosomal RNA (550 nucleotides) under uncultured bacterium. RNAcentral's name for it is "bacterial SSU rRNA". It matches the Rfam family "Bacterial small subunit ribosomal RNA", at positions 273 to 838 of the family's 1533-position model. The record is from RNAcentral.
GCGACGAUCGGUAGCCGGCCUGAGAGGGCGGACGGCCACAUUGGGACUGAGACACGGCCCAGACUCCUACGGGAGGCAGCAGUGGGGGAUAUUGCACAAUGGGGGAAACCCUGAUGCAGCGACGCCGCGUGGGUGAAGAAGUAUUUCGGUAUGUAAAGCCCUAUCAGCAGGGAAGAAAGAAGACGGUACCUGACUAAGAAGCCCCGGCUAACUACGUGCCAGCAGCCGCGGUAAUACGUAGGGGGCAAGCGUUAUCCGGAUUCACUGGGUGUAAAGGGAGCGUAGACGGCCGUGCAAGCCAGGAGUGAAAGCCCGGGGCCCAACCCCGGGACUGCUCUUGGAACUGUGCGGCUAGAGUGCGGGAGGGGCAGGCGGAAUUCCUGGUGUAGCGGUGAAAUGCGUAGAUAUCAGGAGGAACACCGGCGGCGAAGGCGGCCUGCUGGACCGCGACUGACGUUGAGGCUCGAAAGCGUGGGGAGCGAACAGGAUUAGAUACCCUGGUAGUCCACGCCGUAAACGAUGACUACUAGGUGUCGGGGCACGACAGUGC